AAGCGUGCGCAGGCGGUUAUAUAAGACAGAUGUGAAAUACCCCGGGCUCAACCUGGGAACUGCAUUUGUGACUGUAUAGCUGGAGUGCGGCAGAGGGGGAUGGAAUUCCGCGUGUAGCAGUGAAAUGCGUAGAUAUGCGGAGGAACACCGAUGGCGAAGGCAAUCCCCUGGGCCUGCACUGACGCUCAUGCACGAAAGCGUGGGGAGCAAACAGGAUUAGAUACCCCGGU
Molecule: ribosomal RNA, 230 nt
Filed under: uncultured bacterium
Lineage: Bacteria
Description: partial 16S ribosomal RNA
Rfam family: Bacterial small subunit ribosomal RNA
Source: RNAcentral